UUCCUUAGCUGGUUCAUAUGUUUCUCUCUUUUCAUCAAUAGUCUCCAGAAUGCCAUCAGAAUCAUUCGUACGUCUCUCCACAGGAGCUUGGAGUCCAGUAGGUGCCUCAGCUACAAUCUCAACAUCAGCAUUGUUUGCAAUGCUUGCAGGUUCUGUGUUCUCGUUUGCCUUUUCUGGUUCUGGAUUUUGGUCUUGCUGACCAUCAUUUGUUUGCUCAAUAGCAUUGUCAACAUUGGCAUUGCUUGUUAUGCUUGCAGGUUCUGUGUUCUCAUUUGCCUCUUCUGGUUCUUGAUUUUGGUCUUGCUGACCAACAUCUGUUUGCUCAAUAGCAUUAUCAGUUUUCAGCGUGUCUUCCUGCACAGAGUCAUCAUUCACUGUAACACCUAAAUCUUGUUGGUCAUCAC
RNAcentral lists this long non-coding RNA (404 nucleotides) under Sorghum bicolor (sorghum). RNAcentral describes it as "long non-coding RNA (SBIC_LNC005933)". Lineage: Eukaryota; Viridiplantae; Streptophyta; Magnoliopsida; Poales; Poaceae. The record is from RNAcentral.